ACACAACAUCCGUGGCGUUGCCAGGGGAGAUGGAUUAUUAUUGAUUUGAUGGCGACGGUGCAAGGCGUUCAUGAAAAUUAUCGAAUUUUGCAUCGAUCGUAUUCUUCCUUAAAUUUAACCCUAAUAAUUUAUUUUCUUAAAUAAAAGUCCUCGCAGGAGAAAAUGCCAAACAAAAUUCGAAAAAUUGAAGAAGCAUUGGAACAAAGUGCGGUGUUUUUCCACUAUUGCAGCUGGGGCUAAAUAAAUGCGUGUACAACCGUGGCAACUCAAUAAUGCAAAAACCACAACAGUCAAUGUAAAUUAACAAACAUAUUGAGACGAAUUACAUAGAAGUAGACAAAGUGCAUCACUUGUGUAAUACGUACUCUUUCCUGCGACUCAGACAGACGUACAGGCAUAAGGUGACAUUAAAAGCUGCAGAAGAACUGAAUGAUUUGGUGGAACACACCGCAAAUGAUAUUAACAAAAUGGUAAUCGAAGCGGCAUUUGAAUGGUAAUUAUUGGAACCAGUUUUGACUAAAUUGUUUAGGCAUGUUUGCAAGCGCAAUUCAAAAACUUUGACAAAUUGAAACAGGAAAAAUGUCGAUCACAUUUGCUCGAAAGCAUAUUAACAGCGCUCCAAAGCUCAGUUCGUUAUAGUUUUACAUUAUUUUUCGGUUUGUAUUGAUUUUCAUAUAGACGAGAAAUAAAUAGUCGAUUGCCCGACUAA
Dendroctonus ponderosae (mountain pine beetle) is the source of this 709-nucleotide long non-coding RNA. RefSeq lists it as uncharacterized. The record is from RefSeq and is a predicted model, not a curated record. Lineage: Eukaryota; Metazoa; Arthropoda; Insecta; Coleoptera; Curculionidae. The transcript has 2 exons.